This is a long non-coding RNA of Bos taurus (domestic cattle), 2480 nucleotides long. NCBI's taxonomy places the organism in Eukaryota, Metazoa, Chordata, Mammalia, Artiodactyla, Bovidae. The record is from Ensembl.
UAUUGCCCUGUGUGUGGACUGGGUAAAAGAUCCCUUGAUUCCAGAAGUUAAUUCCAGUUUCUUACAACGGGAUCUUCCCAACCCAGGGAUGGAAUCCACAUCUCAUGUCUCCUGCAUUAACAAGCAGGUUCUUUACCACUAGUGCCACCUGCGAAGCCCUUGUAUUACAUAAUAUAUUUAUGAUGAUUGAAGUUUACUAUUAAUUGCCAAGAAGGACAUAACUUCCAGAAUGCAUCCUCUUCAGCCUUUCCUGUUCAUUGGACUAAAGCUGUUAAGCAAUGGUGUCAAGAACCGUCAUCCACUGGUUGAAGCUCAGUACAAAACCAGGAAGCAGGCGGGUUUAGAUCCAGUAGGAACAACUUGACUCAGAUCUUCGCACUUUCACUAAGGAGGGUCGGGGGUGAGGAGACAACAUUUACAUUUGUACUGAAGCUGAUCUGAUGUGAUUGUGACAGUUUUCCAGUCAGUAUUUGUUUAUCUUAAUUUAGUCGCGUGUUAAAAAUGUGAGGGUCAAAUUUACUUCCUUUCAAGGCCACUUGGCGUACACGUCUUGUAGUCUUUGGAAGGGAUGGCAAGGAAACAGCCAUGCUUUAAUGAUGGGAUUAGAUGUUGAUGAAAGCUAGGUGUAAUAGUAGAAACAUUUUAUUGUAUAUUUUUAUUCCAAAGUAAGUGCAGUGUUAUUAUAUUUAGAUAAAUGUUCAGUGAUAAGCCAGAAAUCUUACACAUACAUUGCUGAAGACAUUUUCCCUCUGGAUUUAAUAAAAUUCUGGUACACAGAGGUACAAAAUGUAAUUCAUAAAUGUAAUGAAAACCCUAGAAAACGCUUCCCGCAUGCUUUCCUUCCCUCCCCUCCCCUCCUGUCCCUUUCCUCCUCUUCUCCAGCCCACUCUCCAGUCUUGCUUGCCUUCAUUGCUGGGGGAAAAAAAAAAAGAGCAGGUGAGCACAUAAUUAGGUUGUCACUUUUAAACUCUGGAUUAGUGGGACAUCCUGGAAGACCUCCCUCAACUGCAGUGCUGAACAAACGACUUUUUCCACCCCCAUCUGCAUGCUCCUACUACUUUUGACUAGAUGUCUUGAGAAUCUGCCAAUAUUUUUAAUUGAUCAAGUGAAAAAUACACAGGAAGUAUGCCUGUUUUUUAAUUUGUUUGUAUAUUUUCUUGAUGCGUUGCAUAAAGACCCAAAGGUGCUUUGGCUUCUGUCUGUCCUCACUGGAACUGUGGUUACUGUGGGGUGUGUGGUACUCCGUAGCACACCAUAAAUCUCCACUAGAUGUCAGCGUGUCACCAAAUGAAACCAGCACUCUCUCCUGACCUGUUACUGAAACAGCUUUUUAAUCAGAAUGCUACAGACAAGUUUUAGUAUACAGGUUAAUAAAUUAUAUUUGUCAAUGAAUAGUAAUAAAAAUAAAAUCUUUAAAAAAUUUAGUACCUUUCAUCUGAGGAUUUCAAAAUGUUUUACUUAUAUUUUGGUUUUUGCCGUAAGAGCCCCAAAGAGAUAGAGUGCAAAUAUUCAUUUUUCAUUUUACAGUAAAGUAAAGCAAGGGGACAAAAUGAUUGGCUCAAGAUCACAUAGACGAUGUCUGAAUAAAUGCAGGCUGGUAUUUCUGCCAUCACAGAAUCUACUCUACCUGUGUACUUAGAUACAGAUGCCCUUUAUUUAUCAUUUAUAUUAACUGCUUUGCCUUAAAAACAAGCUCAAGAAAAAUGGAAUAAUAGUUAACAAUUAUCGAAGAUUAUUGAUACGAUUAGUAUGGGGGUGUUUCAGAUGUAAUUUUAAGUUUUUAUAAAGACUGCACAAAGAAAAUAUGCUGAACAACCUAGAUGAAAACUUUAGAAAAUCAUAGCAAUAUUUUACCUGUGCUGUUUUACAGAUGGUGAACUCAGACCAGUGUGAGCCUUGUCUUAGCUCAUGUGCUCAAGUGCAGGAGGAAAAGCAAUUAUAAUUGGGUCUGGAAGGUUGAAGCUCUUGGGUAUGAUGGGAUUAAUGGACAUAACUGCAUAUUGUAGGUUUUUCACUGUAUAAUUUUCUUUAAGAGGAAUAUACAUAAAAUCCUGUAUAUUAAGACUUAAGUGAUUUUCUCAAAAUUGUAUAAAUACAUAAGUUACAACUGUAAAAGUUAUGUUUGUGGAUAAAGAUUAAAAAUACAUAAAUGGCAAGUUAGGGUGAUGUGACUAUGGGUAAAUUCAAUUUUCUCUUUAUGUGGUAAUAUUGUUUCUACAAUAAAUAAAAAGAGAAAACGGUUUUUAUUGUAAAAAUUCACCACAGUCCCCACUUUAGAUAGGCUUAUUUCCUAUCAGUAGAGGUGCAUUGUAUACAGCUGAAAUUCAAAAGGUAUAGUUGAGUUUAUUUCCUUCAAAUGUUUUAAUCAUAGAAACCAGGGUUAAACCGGCAGAAGUACAUAUUUUCGAACUUUACUGUGUAUUUUAGGUGAAAUAAAUGAUUGCCCAUUCCAGCAGGCUGUUUGCUGCAGUGUUCAGUGC